RNAcentral lists this ribosomal RNA (609 nucleotides) under Salinispora sp. SRK1-2. Its description in RNAcentral is "bacterial SSU rRNA". It matches the Rfam family "Bacterial small subunit ribosomal RNA", at positions 93 to 716 of the family's 1533-position model. The record is from RNAcentral. Lineage: Bacteria; Bacillati; Actinomycetota; Actinomycetes; Micromonosporales; Micromonosporaceae.
GAGCGGCGAACGGGUGAGUAACACGUGAGUAACCUGCCCCAGGCUUUGGGAUAACCCCGGGAAACCGGGGCUAAUACCGGAUAUGACCAUCUGUCGCAUGGUGGGUGGUGGAAAGAUUUUUUGGCUUGGGAUGGGCUCGCGGCCUAUCAGCUUGUUGGUGGGGUGAUGGCCUACCAAGGCGGCGACGGGUAGCCGGCCUGAGAGGGCGACCGGCCACACUGGGACUGAGACACGGCCCAGACUCCUACGGGAGGCAGCAGUGGGGAAUCUUGCACAAUGGGCGGAAGCCUGAUGCAGCGACGCCGCGUGAGGGAUGACGGCCUUCGGGUUGUAAACCUCUUUCAGCAGGGACGAAGCGUUUGUGACGGUACCUGCAGAAGAAGCGCCGGCCAACUACGUGCCAGCAGCCGCGGUAAGACGUAGGGCGCAAGCGUUGUCCGGAUUUAUUGGGCGUAAAGAGCUCGUAGGCGGCUUGUCGCGUCGACUGUGAAAACCCGUGGCUCAACUGCGGGCUUGCAGUCGAUACGGGCAGGCUAGAGUUCGGUAGGGGAGACUGGAAUUCCUGGUGUAGCGGUGAAAUGCGCAGAUAUCAGGAGGAACACCGGUGGC